UUGCCGUAGGCAACGACCCGAAGGGCGAAGCGCGCAGCGCUGAGUAAUCCUUCCCCCGUCAUCC
This 64-nucleotide small RNA is filed under the name Salmonella enterica. Its description in RNAcentral is "partial RtT sRNA". It matches the Rfam family "RtT RNA", at positions 68 to 130 of the family's 130-position model. Rfam says of the family: This family represents a bacterial cis-regulatory element known as RtT RNA. The exact function of RtT is unknown although it is thought that it may be involved in changing the cellular response in relation to amino acid starvation. The record is from RNAcentral. Lineage: Bacteria; Pseudomonadati; Pseudomonadota; Gammaproteobacteria; Enterobacterales; Enterobacteriaceae. RNAcentral also lists the same sequence under 1 other name.